Arabidopsis thaliana (thale cress) is the source of this 414-nucleotide long non-coding RNA. RefSeq annotates it as other RNA. Lineage: Eukaryota; Viridiplantae; Streptophyta; Magnoliopsida; Brassicales; Brassicaceae. The record is from RefSeq. The transcript has a single exon.
AUGUGAAAUUUUAUUAUUUGAAAAGUAUUUUUAAAACUGAAAAGAGAAGAAGAGAGAAAGAGGCGGGCGGGGAAACGAAAGAGAGGUGUUGAGGAUUGGAUAGUUCCACGCAAAAGAGUAUCUUCUUUCUUCUUCUUCACCACUAAGAAAGUAAGAAGAAGAUUCUUAUCCACUUCUUCUUCGUUUUUUUUCUUUCUAUAUACUUCUAUAUUGUUAUAUCUAAUUAAAAUUCAUUCCCAAAUUGUAUAUACAAUUAAGUUAAAUUAAAAACAGCACUACUUUAUACUUCACUUUCCCCUUCCAAAUUGUGGUGGAGAGUACAAGGCUUUCGUGGAGGACGCAGACAGUUUUUUUGUUUAAGUCGGCUUUAAUCACACCUGGGGUCGUCAUUCUACUGUUUUUUUUUCUUGUAUC